Molecule: ribosomal RNA, 500 nt
Filed under: uncultured bacterium
Lineage: Bacteria
Description: partial 16S ribosomal RNA
Rfam family: Bacterial small subunit ribosomal RNA
Source: RNAcentral
AUUGAACGCUGGCGGAAUGCUUUACACAUGCAAGUCGAACGGCAGCACGGACUUCGGUCUGGUUGCGAGUGGCGAACGGGUGAGUAAUGUAUCGGAACGUGCCCAGUCGUGGGGGAUAACGUAGUGAAAAUUACGCUAAUACCGCAUACGGCCUAUGGAUGAAAGCGGGGGAUCGACAGACCUUGCGCUAUUGGAUCGGCCUAGAUCGGAUUAGGUAGUUGGUGGGGUAAAGGCCCACCAAGCCAACGAUCUGUAACUGGUCUGAGAGGACGACCAGCCACACUGGAACUGAGACACGGUCCAGACUCCUACGGGAGGCAGCAGUGGGGAAUUUUGGACAAUGGGCGAAAGCCUGAUCCAGCCAUUCCGCGUGCAGGAUGAAGGCCCUCGGGUUGUAAACUGCUUUUGUACAGAACGAAAAGGUUUCUACUAAUACUAUGAGCUCAUGACGGUACUGUAAGAAUAAGCACCGGCUAACUACGUGCCAGCCGCCGCGGUAA